This 87-nucleotide transfer RNA is filed under the name Candidatus Saccharimonadota bacterium. Its description in RNAcentral is "tRNA-Tyr". It matches the Rfam family "tRNA". Rfam says of the family: Transfer RNA (tRNA) molecules are approximately 80 nucleotides in length. Their secondary structure includes four short double-helical elements and three loops (D, anti-codon, and T loops). The record is from RNAcentral. Lineage: Bacteria; Candidatus Saccharimonadota.
GCAGGGAUGACGGAGUGGUCAAUCGUAUCUGACUGUAAAUCAGACGGCUUUCAGCCUACGGGGGUUCAAAUCCCUCUCCCUGCACCA